UAUGUGAUCGUCUCUCGCAUAUCAAUAAGCGGAGGAAAAGAAACUAACAAGGAUUCCCCUAGUAACGGCGAGUGAAGCGGGAAGAGCUCAAAUUUGAAAUCUUAAAGGGUUUCCCUUUACGAAUUGUAGUUUAAAGAAGUGUUUUCUGUUGAGGUUUUGGUAAAAGUUCUUUGGAAUAGGACAUCAUAGAGGGUGAGAAUCCCGUAUUUGACCUUUACUUUCAACUUUGUGAUACACUUUCAAAGAGUCGGAUUGUUUGGGAAUGCAGUCCAAAAUGGGUGGUAAAUUUCAAUCUAAAGCUAAAUAUUGGCGAGAGACCGAUAGCGAACAAGUACCGUGAGGGAAAGAUGAAAAGAACUUUGAAAAGAGAGUUAAACAGUACGUGAAAUUGUCAAAAGGGAAGCGUUUGACACCAGUGUUGUUUUUCUGAAAAUCAAUUAAAGAACUGUUUAUGCUAAGUUGUUUAGACUUUAUCAGCUAACUGUUUAGUUUUGAGCUUUUCUUUAAUGCACUUUUCAGUUAACAAGUCAACAUCAAUUUCUUUUGCUGUAAAAAAGCUUGAGGAAGGUGGCUUGAGAUUCGUCUUAAGUGUUUAUAGCCUCUUGCCUAUGCAGUCGGAGAGAUUGAGGUCUGCAGCGUAGAUCCUUCGGGGCUAAAUGCAUUUGUGCUAAGUUAUAGCAUUUUAUAGACAACUUGUUGACUAUGAUUUGUCUUGUAGCUUACUCGCUUAUGUUAUUUUACCUACGCUUAGGAUGUUGACUGAUAUGUAGUCGU
RNAcentral lists this ribosomal RNA (774 nucleotides) under uncultured Neocallimastigales. RNAcentral's name for it is "partial large subunit ribosomal RNA". It matches the Rfam family "Eukaryotic large subunit ribosomal RNA", at positions 24 to 643 of the family's 3401-position model. The record is from RNAcentral. Lineage: Eukaryota; Fungi; Neocallimastigomycota; Neocallimastigomycetes; Neocallimastigales.